GAUGAACGCUGGCGGCGUGCCUAAUACAUGCAAGUCGAGCGAACAGACGAGGAGCUUGCUCCUCUGACGCUAGCGGCGGACGGGUGAGUAACACGUGGAUAACCUACCUAUAAGACUGGGAUAACUUCGGGAAACCGGAGCUAAUACCGGAUAAUAUAUUGAACCGCAUGGUUCAAUAGUGAAAGACGGUUUUGCUGUCACUUAUAGAUGGAUCCGCGCCGCAUUAGCUAGUUGGUAAGGUAACGGGUUACCAAGGCAACGUUGCGUAGCCGACCUGAGAGGGUGAUCGCCCACACUGGAACUGAGCCACGGUCCAGACUCCUACGGGAGGCAGCAGUAGGGAAUCUUCCGCAAUGGGCGAAAGCCUGACGGAGCAACGCCGCGUGAGUGAUGAAGUUCUUCGGACCGUAAAACUCUGUUAUUAGGGAAGAACAAAUGUGUAAGUAACUAUGCACGUCUUGACGGUACCUAAUCAGAAAGCCACGGCUAACUACGUG
RNAcentral lists this ribosomal RNA (497 nucleotides) under uncultured bacterium. RNAcentral's name for it is "partial 16S ribosomal RNA". It matches the Rfam family "Bacterial small subunit ribosomal RNA", at positions 28 to 507 of the family's 1533-position model. The record is from RNAcentral.